Long non-coding RNA from Meriones unguiculatus (Mongolian gerbil), 8826 nucleotides. RefSeq lists it as uncharacterized. Lineage: Eukaryota; Metazoa; Chordata; Mammalia; Rodentia; Muridae. The record is from RefSeq and is a predicted model, not a curated record. The transcript is spliced from 2 exons.
GAGGACAGAAGGCAAAAGGCGCCCAGCCUCUGCUCCAAGGAAGAGGAGGUCAGCCUCAGGAGGGAUUUGCUUGAGGUCUUCCAUCCAGUGAGAGACUGAGCCGAGCUCCACGGUGGGCAGAACCUGCUUGCUGGGUCUGUUGCCCCUGGGAUAUCUUUCCUAAGCUCUCUCCAGGGAAGGUGAAGCCGAGACUCCUCGUAACGGCAUUGCUCGUCGCAAAGCAGAAGGCCUAGCAGGCAAGUCGUCCCCAUCCUCCCACCUGAAAGGGUGCGGCUCUCACCCUCGCUUUACAGCAGGAGCCUGGGAAGCCUGCCUGAGGUGGGGCAGCUGGGAAGUGCUGGUAUCUGAGGUGGGCUUGGUGGUCCAGGAUCCCAGCAUGCCUAGGGGUGAGGCUGGAGCCUCACGUGGUGAGUCAGGGGAUCAGGUGAGACAGCCCUGGGCCAAGCAGGGAGCCCCAGUGAUAAGCAGGGCAGGACGAAGGCCCCAAGCGCCCCUUUCAGUGAGGCCCGGCCAGCUGGCAGGCCCGGCCAGCCUGCAACCUGAGCCAUCACCAACCAGCCUCCCAGACUCUCGGGUUCCAGGAGCCUGAGGUACAGCAGGCUUGACAGGGGACGAGUGCUCACAGCCUAACACACCACAGAUGCUUCCACUCAGAGGCACCUCCAGAAGUUUGGGACAAAAUGUCUCCUUUUGGUGAUGGGGAAACUGAGGCCAGGAAUGCAUAAAGGAUUCCAUUCUUGCUGUUUUCCUCACCACCUCAGUCCAUUUUCCAGGACGAGGCUUAGUGCCCGGCUGGCACUCAACAAACACCGUCAGAACGGCAGAGUGAGAGGGAGCCACUUUUCUGAGUAGGUAAAACACACAGGAAAGCAGGCGAAGGCUCAAGUGACAGCCUGCUUGCUGUCGGAACACAGCUCAUCCCAAGCCCCAAUAACAACAGGAAAGGAGUCACAAAGAGCAAAGGUUUUGCUUUCAUGAGACUAAGUCACUCAUAGGCACAUAUCUUGGAAUCUGUCUCAACACUUAAAAAGACCACACCUACUGGGCCAGCCCAGGCACAGGUUGAAAAGUUACCAGCAGGAACCCUGUGCAAACCCCAAGGGAACUCAGAAAACUAGAUGGAAUACUCACAGUGCUCCCAACACUUGAGAGGUGGAGACAGGAGAAUCAGCUACACAGGGAGAAGUUUGCCUUGAAUCCAUAAACACAUGAGACCAUGUCUCAAAAAAAAAAAAAAAAAAAAGGGGGGGGGAAGAAAUAGAGGGAGAGGGAGAAAGACUAUAGACAGAAAACAGACUCAGGAGAGAAAAAAGCGAGGGAGGGAGAGAAACUAGAAUAUAGGAGAGAGUAGCCCAGUGGUUAGAGUGCUGCCCAGGCAAGAAGCCCUGUAGCGCUGCAUAAGGCCAGGCAUGGCGCCUCAUUGCACAACCCUGGUAUGCGGUUAAGGAGGAGGAUCACCUUUCACUGUGUAGCAGGUUCAAAGCCAGCUUAAACUACAGGAGACUGAUCCUGACUCAAAAAGCAAAAGAAAAACUGGACCAAAAAUGGCACUGGCAGGCAUCGUGGCACGUACUUUUGAUUACAGUUCGGGGGGGGGGGCAGAGACAGGUGGAUCUCUGUGAGUUCCAGGACAGCCUGGUCUACGCAGUGAGCUCCAGGACAGCAAGAACUACAUCCGGAGAGCCUGUCUCAGACAGACAGUCCCCGAACCUGGACGGAGCUCGCCCUCCUGGAUGUGGAGAAUGACAGCGGCGAGUGCCUGUACCUGCACACAUUCGUGGACCCGUAUGUGCCGGGGACAUCCCAAGAAACAGGUGUGUCCAAGCAGAGGAAUGUGGCCGAGGCCCGGAAGGCCACGGACACGUUUAAUGGACUAUGUAGGACUUGCGCUUUCUGUGGGGCCCAACUCUGCUGGGCAAGUCACGUGGUUCUCAGAUUGGCCAAGGCCAACGACACCGUCUCAAAGAGCAUCUACACAGAGGAAACUGGAUAAUAUUUGUCAUAAAUAACGAGAAAUGGAAACACUGCCAGGUCUCUCCGGGCUGGUGCCACAACCCAUUUUCCUGGGAAGUCUGUUCUUGGAAGGCAGCCACCAUGCUUUGCCCACGCCACUGAAGAGGCCCUGUUUGGUGUUCGGGCUGAUUUCCCCAGCUGAGUUCCAAGUUGCCAACCAGUGCUAACUCCCAGAGAUGGGAGAGAGGAGGUCCUUGGUCACAGCACAUCUGCUCAUGGUUUGACUGAAAUCACAAGCACCUCAGCAUCUUCAUGAGAGGAGGACAGCCCUCCUCCGCAGACCUCCGAGAGCCACUGAGAGGAGACACUGUGGCUUACUUACUUCUGUAAUCCUCGCUCUUGGGAGGCCAAGGCAGAUGGAGUUUCGGGAGUAUAAUGCCAGCCUGAUCUACGUAAUAAGAGCCACCCCUCAAUCUGGAAAAAAAAAAGAAAAGAAAAGAAAAAGCUAGAUUGUGUAAAUUCAAGGUCCAGCCUCACCUCUUUCUCUGUAAAACGAUGAUAACAUCAGUGUCUGUAUUAUAGCACGACUGAAAGAGAAGAGCGUGAGUUUGCAGGGUGUGGGGGCACACACCUAUAAUCCAGAGCUCAGGAGGGGACACUGAAGGACUAGAAGUCCUGAGCUGGAACUGAGGUCCCUCUGGCUUGUGUAGCUGGUGCUUUGCCACCUGGACCAUCUCUCCCCGGCCGCUGCCUUUCGUAUUUUUUGUUUCUGAGACAGGGUGUCUCAGGACAGAAACCCUAGGUGGCCUGCCUCCGCCUCUUCCACAGGCACCAUCACCAUCACCAUCACAGGCCUUCAGUGUUCUUUCUCUGUCUUGGCUUGUCCGUGCCUCAUGAAGCCCCCGUGAGGCUGGCAUGGCAGUGAGCUGAUCCCUGCUUGACAGAGACAGGGACGGAGGCCAAGGAUAAUGUUAGUACCUUUUCUUUACAGUGUCUCAGUGGCUGCCAAGGACCUUGUUGUCCUUCUGCAAAGGAACCAGGAUUCAGAGGCCCACAGGCCACGCCCUGUGUGUGUGUGUGUGUGUGUGUGUGGUGAUACUGGCCUGUGUGGCCUUUUGCACCACAGGCCGUCUGGAAGGAGGGGUGUUUUCCUACUUGAUGACAGACAGCAGCCAGUUUGUAAGUCAUCUUCAGGAAUGCCUGAAAUUCCUCUCAGUGAUUCAUCCUUUCUGUUGGGCUCUGGGAACACUCUCUUCCCCUGGAAAAUUUACUAAGGGCGAGAGCUAAGUGUGGGAUGAGCAUAACAAAUACCUGUAUGCAAUCCCAGCAUUCCAGAGGCUGAACCGGAGCAGCUCAAGGCCAGCCUGGGGCAGAGGACACAGAUGGCCAGUGAGGUGGCACUCUGUGCGAUGCUGGGAGAGCAAGCAUGCCGACCUGAGUCCCAUCCGUAGAUUCUAUGGUAGAAAGACAGAACUGACUGGGCUGGGGGAGGGAGGUGCUUGACUUCCUUCCACAGAUGGAAGAACUAUCAUCCAGGAGGAGAUACGACAAUGGCCAGGGACACACAGCCGUCCAGAGCCUGGGAUGAGUGAGCAGGGCAUCAGGGUACGUUCCUGUGAGUCUCAUGGCCACAAAGAACCUCCCUCAUGGAGCUCUGAGCUGGCUUCAUUCUGCAGCCCCGAGCCCUGACUCAGAGGUUAGGCUAUUUGGGCUGCCCCUUCCUUACUCACUCAAACACACACUCUCUCCUUUCUUUGCUCACUUAUUCCUUGGGAGGCUGAGGGUGGAACCCAGGACCUUGUGCAUGCCAGGCAAGCAUGUUACCACUGAACCAUCCAGCCCCACCACUUCCUUUUCUUCCGGUAUGAGGACCUGGUUUGUCAUUAAGGGAACCACUCUACCACUCUACCCACUCUCAGGUCCCUGGAGCUGUGUUUGGAGGUAGUUCAGGGCCCAGCUCUGCUCCUAUCUAGUCCUCGGGCCGUCCUGAACCCUUCCAGUCCAUUCCUUCCUUGUCUCAGUAACAAAAUACGUCUCUCCUUUUGCAUUAAAGAAUUCUAAUUAAGGUGAGGUGACACAUCUGUAAUUCCAACACUCAGGAGGUGGAGGUUGGAGGAUCACGGAGUUCAAAACCAACUUCAGCUGUGUAGUAAGUUCGAGGUCAGCCUGGCUUACCUGAAGACUCUGCCUCAAAAAACAAAAGGAAGGGUGAUAGUGCACAUCUUCAAUCUCAGCACCCGAGAGGUUCAGACAGGCAGAGGCCAGCUUAGUCUACACAGUAAGGCCCUGUCUCAAACAAAACUGAACAAGAAUCCUAAAUGAAAAACCCACUUUUGCCAGGGGUAGCGGUCUACAUCUCUAAUCCUGGCACUCGGGUGGCAGAGGCAGGCAGAUCUCUGAGUUCAAGGCCAGCCAGAUCUACAGAGCAAGUUCCGGGACAGCCAGGAUCUACACAGAGAAACCCUGUCUUGAAAAAGGCAAAAAUCAAAACCCCCACUCUCCCUCGAAGAGAGUGAAGAUUGAAGAGGCGGAGCUGGUGGCUUGGCAAUUCUCCGCUCCUGCCUCCCCAGCCAGGCUGCUUCCACCGGGUACAGUGCCAGCUACCUGGAGCUGGUGGGUUCUGAGGCGGGAAGAGAAAAGAAGGCGGUGAGGGGGAGCUGACAGGGUCGAGCAUCAGAUCCAGGUUCCCCUGUUCAAUCAGCCUAGCUGUGAGAGUCAGCUGCAGUGUGAGGUAGCUACGGCAGACGCUAGGGGUACGGCUGAGCAGCUCACAGGGUGGAUUUCAGCUCUGAGGGCCCGCCCUCCCUGGCUGAGCCUGAGAACUGCCCGGGCAGCAGCUGCCCCAGGGUUAGGGAUAACACUUGCCUUGUAUGGAUGUUAUGAGGGUCAAAGGAGAUAGGACGGACGUUCUUGGCACAGCACCCAGACGUUUAGUAAGUCUUGAGUAAACAGUAUCUAGGUGUUAUGGCACCAGCACAGGCAGACUCAGUCUGGAAGACCCUGGCAGUCUCGCAGGAGACAACAAAUCCUGGGCUCCCCUUCUAACACCCACCUCUGGACCGAAAAUAACCUUCCUGGGAUGCCCCCAGGGCUUUGUGGCUCCUCCCAGGCCUCUACGGUAAGCUGGGCCCGAGGAGCAGGGAUCUGGCCUCGUCUCUCCCGUUAGGAUUUUCGGUUUAGUGGAAGCCUGAGAUAUCCCAGAGCCCAGUCCCAGGACUUCUCCAAAGCCCCAAAGUUUCCUGGGAUGACCUAGCACCCCCCCUCCACUCCUCUCUCCGACUAGAGACAGGUAGAGGUGAGGGCCCAGCCUAACCAGCAGUAUAGUCUCUGCAGUCUGGAGCUUCAUGCAGCAGCAGCUCAGAGCUCUCCAGCCUCCUCUCUCUCAGGCCAGCCUUGCCCUCCUGGCCUAGGGCCUCCAUGGGCAUCUGCAAAGGAGCCACGUGUGCUGGCCAGGAGCCACUUGGACUCUUGGGCGUCUCUUACAAUGGCUGCAUUCAGAGCGAAGCUGGCCCAUGGAGCCAGGGUGCAAGUUCAGACACCAACCAAGGGGCGGCCGAGGAUGGGGGAGCGGUGGUAGCGGCCCUCGGCACAGCCAAGCCUGGUGUCGGGGGUGGCCACCCCACAGCUGGGGCCACCAAGCUUGGGGCUCCCUGGGGCCCAGCAAGGGAGAGUCUGGAAGCAGACAGAGGGAUGCAUUACUCAUGGGCCCUCGCCCAUGCUCUCGCUGGCAUCUGCAGGCCCCUAGCCAGGAAUGACGUGGGUUGGCUCCCAAGCAAUCCUUGCAGUAACAGCUGGGGCUUCUGCGCCUCUUCUCCCAGGGUCCUGAGUAGGGACCCAUGGCUCCCUGCAACUGUCUCUGUCCCUUCAUCUCCCCCAAAGCCCUCACUGGCUCCCUAGGGACUUCACCUGGGGGGUCCAGACUGCCCCUUCCUCCCAUCAGCUUUCCCACUUGAGCUUGAAACUCUACCCUUGGGGCAGGUAGAAAGAAAAGCAGCCUCAUAGUGGAGACGGACUUGACUCCACCCUGACCACGCAUCUUUCCUCCCCAUUUCCAGACUGUUUCUUGCAGUCACAUGACCUGAGUUGGUCCCAGGCUAUUCCAUCCCCCAGCUUGGGCAUAAUACUCUGGAGAGGGUCUGAGGAAGUAGCCCAGUUGAUACAAUGUUUGCCAGGCAAGUCCCGGACUUGAGUUCCACCCGCAGAACCAAACGUGGUAGCUUACGUUUGUGAGGGGGAACACCGAAGGGUUCCUGGCGUGCUGGCCGGGCAACCCAGCCCGUUUGGCUAGCUCCAGGCCAAUCAGAGACCUUAUUUCAGAAACCAAGUCGGGCCUGCGUGGGGGUGGAGUGGGGUAAAGUAGCAAUGCGGCCUUUAAUCCCAGCCCUCCAAUCCCCGGCAGAGAUCUUGCUGUUGUCACUAGUGGGUUUGAAGAUGGAUCUGCGGUAGAUUCCCAGAGGGUGGGUGUAGGAGUCAGGUGGGAGGGCUCAGGCUAGCCCAGGACUGUAUCUGCCGGGUUCUGGUUGUUCGGUGGAGGGACUCUGCUCAGAGCGCACAGCCUAUGCUAGGCUGAGCUUCAGACUUCCACAUUCUCUUCAUGGAGCCUCGUACGUCUGGAGUACAGGCAUCCAUGGUCCAGUGCCUACUGAGCAGCCUGGAGAGCAACUGAUUCUCUUCUUUCUCUGUAAAUGAUGCAUUUGAGGUAGAGAGCUAAAAAAAACAAAACAAAACAAAACAACAACAACAACAAAAAACACCCUUGCCUGUUUGCCAGGCCUGGUGUCAAACAAACUUGUGAGAUAUCAGACAGGAGGUUUGAGAGUUUGAGGCCAGCCUGGUCUACAUAGCAAGUUCAGGGCCAGCCAGACCCACUCUGUGUGAAAAACAGGAGAGAUAUGUGUGUGUGCCUAACUUCCUAUGAUCCUGCCCCUUCUUUAGGAGUUGAGGUGUGCCGGGUACCCAUCCUCUGGCACUCAUUUGCCAUCCUGUCAAAUGAGAUUCCCUAUCCUCAGGUGAAAAUCGGGAGCCGGCUGUGGGAUUCAGGGAGCUGAGCCGUGAGUCCAGCUUCCAACGGGACAGCCUAACACCUGUGUCGCCAGCAGGUCUGGUGGCCGUCACAGUUCACAUCCUGUUGUUCUUCGCAGAUGAGCAGAGAGGAGGCCAGGAAGAGGCCGGAAGGCCUGGCUCAGAGGUCGACUCCUUCGGGGUUUGGAGUGGCCCACAGGAAGGGCAAGGGUGAGUGGACACUGCCUGGAGUCUGCCCACAGGCCUGGGCCCUUCCAGCCAGCAGCCCCAAGGUGCUAGCAGACUGUUAGUGCGAGCGAGCGUCACAUCCGAGCCACAGUGAGCCUGCAGGGCAGACAGGGUCUCGGUGAGGCCAAACGCACCAGUCCCUGGCCAUCUCGCCUCGGACGGUCCCUGUCUUCUCGCUGAUGGAUAGCUACCUGGAGGGCAGGCCCGCCCCAACUGAUGACAAUGGUCACUUGAGAGUGGGACGGACAGACAGGCUCCAAGGGGAAAGGAGAGUUUCUAGGAAGAUGGGUAGGACACAGCCCAGGGGACUGAUGAAGCCACUGCCCGUCACACCUCCUGGGCUUCUCAGAGCAGGCGGGCACAGAGCCUCCAGGUUCCCAGCUGGUUGAGGGGUGGCUGACACACCUCGACCUGUGCCACCCUGGGUCAUGUCACAGCCUCCAGGCUCAGUCCCCUCAUCAGUAAAUAGGGUUAGUUGGCAUUGUAUUGGCCGGGUCUUGGGUAGAUUAAGUCGCCUUGCCCUCUCUACAUAGCUGAGCUUGACUUUGAACUUCAGAUCUUCCUGCUUCCACCUCCUCACAGGCAUGCAGCGCCAACGCCGGUUUGGAGAAUUGCUUCAGAUUUUUAUUUUAUUUUAUGUAGAUGAGGAUUUUGUCUGCCUGUGUAUAGCUGUACCUUGUGCCUGGCUGGGGCCCGUGGGGCUUGGAAAAGGGUACCAGAUGCCUUGGAACUGGAGUCAUGAACGGUUGAGCUGCCGUGUGGGUGCUGGGAAUUGAACUUUGGUCUUCUGGAAGAGCAGCCGGUGCUCCUAACUUCUGAGCCAUCCAUCUCUCGUGUGUUCCCUUUUAGUCUUUACAAGGGCCGGAGAACUAGAUGCAGUUUUCAGAUUGGAAGAGCAUACAGGGUUCUUAAUUCCCACAGUAAGCAGCUGAGACGGGGAAUGUCAAGUUCUCUCCCAAGAACGCAACAGAAAGGGUCGUAUCCCUCAGAGCAGCUGUGGGAAAUGUGUGCCCAUAAAGCCUCAGGACGGGCUCUGGCACACAGUAAGCACUUUACGAGUUCAGGGUGAAGGGCUGGAGAGAUGGAGUUAAGAGCACUUGCUGGUUUUCCAGAGGACCAGAGUUCAAUCCCCAGAACCCACAUGACAGCUCAGAGCCAUCUGUAACUCCAAGAUCCUUAAGGCACCCUUUGAGGCACAAGUGGGCAGGCCCCACCCUAAGACUGCUGUAAUGUCCAUACUGGCCACUCCCAACCUCCUCCCAGCCCUGCUCUAUGAAUGGAAAUGGCCAUUUCCAGCCUUUCUCACAGAAGGCAGCCAAGCUCCACCCUUCCGAAAGAAAAAACAAAACCAACCCAAACCCCCUCAAGAUUGGGCUACAGAAUCCCACCAAUCCCCAAACUCAAAAUCCCACCAAUCCCUGAGCAUGUCCCAUGAUCAGGCCACAAAAUGGCACCAAUCUCAGACCCAGACCACCCUGAAAAGCUCCGCCCUGCCUCAGACCCUGUAUGAAGCCUGCCUCCUGCUCUGCUCUUGGCUACUUCUCAUCAGAGGGUGCAGAGUCGCUCUCCCUCUCAUGUCUUUCCCAAUAAAUCUCUUGUGUGAGGUUUGCUCUGCCACGUGAA